Molecule: long non-coding RNA, 341 nt
Filed under: Phoenix dactylifera (date palm)
Lineage: Eukaryota; Viridiplantae; Streptophyta; Magnoliopsida; Arecales; Arecaceae
Description: long non-coding RNA (PDAC_LNC016189)
Source: RNAcentral
ACUGUUACGUGCUCCAUUUUCCUUGACUCUCGGCAGGCACUUGGAACGUGGGGUGCUUGGCUAUCAUCAUCUGCAUCAAAUAUGCUGGAGAAGACCAGGUCAUGCUCCAGUUCCAGAAGCAGUUCCUAUUCUUCAGCACCAGUUCUAUUCUUUAGCUGUAACUCCUAGUCUUUUGGCAUUAGUUGUAACAUGCUUGAUUUCUGUUGGAUGUAAGGUUAUUAAUAUAGCCAGUUGAAUUCAAUAAAGAAAAAAAGCUCUUUUGUCGAGAACUCCCUAUCUCUUGACUUCUCCUCCUUCUUUCGUCCUUUCCUCCUCUCUGUUUUCUUUACUUCUCAAAUUAA